Molecule: ribosomal RNA, 254 nt
Filed under: uncultured bacterium
Lineage: Bacteria
Description: partial 16S ribosomal RNA
Rfam family: Bacterial small subunit ribosomal RNA
Source: RNAcentral
UACGUAGGGGGCAAGCGUUGUCCGGAAUUAUUGGGCGUAAAGAGCUCGUAGGCGGUGUGUCGCGUCGGCCGUGAAAACCUGCAGCUUAACUGUGGGCUUGCGGUCGAUACGGGCAUCACUGGAGUUCGGCAGGGGAGACUGGAAUUCCUGGUGUAGCGGUGAAAUGCGCAGAUAUCAGGAGGAACACCAGUGGCGAAGGCGCCGCUCUGGGCCGAGACUGACGCUGAGGAGCGAAAGCGUGGGUAGCAAACAGG